AUGGGGCGAGGUCGUGGGAUCAUGGAACGGAGAGAUCCUGAGCCUCCCUUGGGCGUCCACGCGCGCGGGGUUGGUGUUGAUCUCAGAGAAGCAGCCGAGGACGCCGUGGUGCUCCAGGACGGUCUCGAUGAAGAAGGAGUUGGCGUCGCUCACCACCUUCAAAUCACACCUGGGACGCACACCUACCACCGUCAAGAUCCAAUCCAACCACCGGCCGCGUGGGAAAUCAAGAACACAUCGGCAAAUCGGCAUCGGUCCAUUUCAUACCCUAAUGCCGACGCCGUCCGGAUGGCGGAGAGGACGUGCGCGUCGAGCGGUGCGCUCCUGAGGCACUCGCGGAUGUCGUCGGCCGACCUCCCCUGCGCGUGGAGCUCCCCCAUCAUCCUGUCCUGGAAGACAUUAGGGCCUCACUCAGCCGGGAGAAGCGCCAUGCGUGUCUAG
This 441-nucleotide ribosomal RNA is filed under the name Triticum aestivum (bread wheat). RNAcentral describes it as "partial small subunit ribosomal RNA". Lineage: Eukaryota; Viridiplantae; Streptophyta; Magnoliopsida; Poales; Poaceae. The record is from RNAcentral.